GCAGUGAGGCCCACCGACCAGGAGUUGGUUGAGCGUCCCUGAUUAGGACGCUAACUGCAAAGUAUACGGUGACUACAUGUCAUUCAACACAACAUUCAAUACCAAUUUGUAUGGCAUGCCAUUCUUGCCGAGUAGCACCAGUAGACCUGGGUUUGACUCCCUAUGGGAGCGAAUUUAAAUCGUUCUGCAUUAUCAAAAAAUGAAAAAAUAGGCUGGGGUUUCCCUUGCUAACUUCGGUCUAAAAAAUCGGUGUCAAUAAACAUGCCAAGACAAUACUCUUUGGUUGUGUGCUUCUAAAGGAUCAAACUAUUGGCACAUUUGAGUAGCUAUUCUAUACAUUGUUAACAACAUGAUAACACAAUACUCUUUGGUUGUGCACUUUUAAAGGAUCAAACUAUUGGCACAUUUGACUAACUAUUCGAUACAUUGUUGACUGCAAAUGAUGAAAAGAUGCUAAGUACAAUAAUAACCGACCAAGAUCAGUCCAUUGCGAGCACCAUCCGGUGGUUGGCUACAGAGGUACAAAAACGGUAAUAAUCCCUUUCAACUUUCCACACUCCCACAUUUAUUAUCAUCAUUUUAUACCUAGGUUAUGGAAAAUAAACUUAAAAAGGUGACUACCUAAACACUGGAUGAGUUUUGAGUAAACUUGCAUAUUCUUUUUAUUUUGCUUUAGCGUUUUGAUAAUCCUUCUUUUCAUUAUAAUGUUGUAUAUAUUUAAUAACCUUUAUUAUUUGUCGAUGAACUGUGCAUGUUUUAUCGUAAAUGCAGGUGGUACAACAUAUUAAAACUUGGGUUUCGAAUACAGAGAGUAGAUUGGAGAGAGCUUGAUAGU
RNAcentral lists this long non-coding RNA (835 nucleotides) under Sorghum bicolor (sorghum). Its description in RNAcentral is "long non-coding RNA (SBIC_LNC013278)". The record is from RNAcentral. Lineage: Eukaryota; Viridiplantae; Streptophyta; Magnoliopsida; Poales; Poaceae.